UUUAUGGCUUGCAAAUGUAUUAGAAAACUUAUGCGAGUGAUUAUAGAAUUGCUUAUCCUUAUUCUCCUAAAAGUGCAAGCUAAUGAGCUUGCCUAAAUCUCUUUCCAUUCCUCAUCACCUUCCACACUGCUUCCUUAUUUUCAUAAACUUGAUAGAGUUCAAACUAAAGACAUUUUCCCUACCUCUUUUUGUCCCUUUCCACUACCUAUCAUGUAUCCUCACUCCUCUAAACUUGAUGAAAUUCAAGGAACAAUACAUACAUGCCAUGCUAAUUAAAUUAAACUGUGUGAAAUCAAAUUGCAACACCGGAUGAUUGGUUUUCAAUUUUGUAUUAUUUCGGCUUAUACAAAAUGUUGGUUGAGUCACCAUGGAGGAGAGAAGAUGACUUAUGAGCAUUUAUUUUGAGUAAAAAUUGUGUAAAACAUCGACGUGAUAUUGGGACCUGUUGCAAAGAAUGUUAUGAAAGGCAUUUCAAGACGCGCACAGAUGUCGUCUAUACACAAAAUCCCGAGCAUUAGAUAUGGUCAAUAAGUGAGGAAUGGCAAAAUUCAUGUGGAAUUGCUUGGAAAAUUCGGAAGUUCUGAAGAACUCGAUCGAUCGAUCGAAUUUUUCCCGAAGUCGAUCGAUCGAAAAUUUCCAGAACUUACUUUUGCAGAAGCGCGCCAGAACACCCAAUCAGGAGCUUCUCCAUGACAAAAAGUAGUUCUCCCUCUGAUUUUCGCAGCAGAACACGCUGGUUUCGUGACCUUGGUUGUCUCUAGCAAGAGAGGAACCCUAGAAGAGCUUCUGCAACUUACUGGGUACCCCGAAGAAUCGAUCGAUCGAAAAUAAAUUCGAUCGAUCGAGUUAGCAUCUGCCUAAUAUAAAGUCAAUCGAUCGAAAAUAUAUUCGAUCGAUCGAAAUAGACUUCGAUCGAACGAACUUUCUGCACAGCAGCAGCUCGGAACAAGGUGAGUAUCUCUGUUCCAGUACUUCUUUUAGUCCAU
This is a long non-coding RNA of Alnus glutinosa, 986 nucleotides long. RefSeq lists it as uncharacterized. The record is from RefSeq and is a predicted model, not a curated record. The transcript has 3 exons. Lineage: Eukaryota; Viridiplantae; Streptophyta; Magnoliopsida; Fagales; Betulaceae.